GAUGAACGCUGGCGGCGUGCCUAAUACAUGCAAGUCGAGCGAACAGACGAGGAACUUGCUCCUCUGACGUUAGCGGCGGACGGGUGAGUAACACGUGGAUAACCUACCUAUAAGACUGGGAUAACUUCGGGAAACCGGAGCUAAUACCGGAUCAUAUAUUGAACCGCAUGGUUCAAUAGUGAAAGACGGUUUUGCUGUCACUUAUAGAUGGAUCCGCGCCGCAUUAGCUAGUUGGUAAGGUAACGGCUUACCAAGGCAACGAUGCGUAGCCGACCUGAGAGGGUGAUCGGCCACACUGGAACUGAGACACGGUCCAGACUCCUACGGGAGGCAGCAGUAGGGAAUCUUCCGCAAAGGGCGAAAGCCUGACGGAGCAACGCCGCGUGAGUGAUGAAGGUCUUCGGAUCGUAAAACUCUGUUAUUAGGGAAGAAUAAAUGUGUAAGUAACUAUGCACGUCUUGACGGUACCUAAUCAGAAAGCCACGGCUAACUACGUG
RNAcentral lists this ribosomal RNA (497 nucleotides) under uncultured bacterium. Its description in RNAcentral is "partial 16S ribosomal RNA". It matches the Rfam family "Bacterial small subunit ribosomal RNA", at positions 28 to 507 of the family's 1533-position model. The record is from RNAcentral.